Molecule: long non-coding RNA, 950 nt
Organism: Aphis gossypii (cotton aphid)
Lineage: Eukaryota; Metazoa; Arthropoda; Insecta; Hemiptera; Aphididae
Exons: 2
Source: RefSeq, a predicted model, not a curated record
UAUUCAGGCAAAUCUAUAGUUUUAAAUAAAAAAUAACUCAUAUCUGGUUUAAAUUCUAACGGAUGCUCGAGCUUAGACACCGGUGUCCAUGGUGGUUAAAUAGAUGACUAACUAUACAAUUUUAUAUAAUAUGUAUAAUGUAUAUAUCUAGGUAUUUUCAUUUACGUAUCGAUAUGGUUCAAUGGUCUAAACAAAUAAUAAAACAAGAGGAUAAUGUCAUUGUAUAAAUAAUUAUCUAUAUUUUAUGAACCGUGGUUAAGACUGGCGUUAAAAAAAAAUACAUGCACACGGGAACGAACAUUUAUAUAACGUGAACCUGGGUCUGGUCGCAAAUGCCGUCCACAUGCCGCACGAACAAUUUACUCAGAAUUACUCGGAUGUAAGCAAAUCCGAAACCCAAUGAGCUGUGAUGGUGACGAAGACGAUAGUAAAAAAAAAAAUAAUAAUAACUACAGACUAUACAGUCUACAGUCUUCUUCGGGACAGUCCACGGCUACAGCAUCCUGCUCGCCGCAGUUAAACUCGACGAUCCGUGACGUCUUGACUUCUCUCGGGUAUACACUCUGAUUGACAUGUCAGUCAAUAACCCGCUGUACUAUAUAAUGUAUAUAGGUACACAAUACACACUUUGCGGUCUACGCCGGAGGAUCGUAUGGAAAUGCAUUCAACGACAAGACCAGACCGCGACUAUAGGCAUACGAAAUAUUUGGGCGUUAAAGGUUCUAUUAUGUACCUACCCUACGUGUAUAUAUAUUAACGUUCAAGACGGAUGUAUACGACGAAUCAUUAUAUAAUGAUCACAUUUAUACAGACAGCUGAACCGAAUAAUUUGUCAAGUCAUCGUUCUUAUGGAGAACAAUAAUUGAACUAUAUACAUAAUUUGUAAAUACUACAGUAUUACACUGUAUAGCAAACACGUACCAUUACAACAAUAAUAUGAUAUAUUAAUA